GUAGGGAAUAUUGCACAAUGGAGGAAACUCUGAUGCAGCGACGCCGCGUGAGUGAUGAAGGCCUUCGGGUCGUAAAGCUCUGUCGCAGGGGAAUAACACAAUGAAGGUACCCUGUAAGAAAGGAUCGGCUAACUUCGUGCCAGCAGCCGCGGUAAGACGAGGGAUCCUAGCGUUGUUCGGAAUCAUUGGGCGUAAAGCGGAUGUAGGUGGCUAUGUAAGUCAGAUGUGAAAGCCUGGGGCUCAACCCCAGAAGUGCAUUUGAUACUGCGUAGCUUGAGUGUCGGAGAGGUUACUAGAAUUGGUGGUGUAGUGGUGAAAUACGUAGAUAUCAACAGGAAUACCGGAGGCGAAGGCGGGUAACUGGCCGAACACUGACACUGAGAUCCGAAAGCGUGGGGAUCAAACAGGAUUAGAAACCCCAGUAGUCC
This 428-nucleotide ribosomal RNA is filed under the name uncultured bacterium. RNAcentral's name for it is "bacterial SSU rRNA". It matches the Rfam family "Bacterial small subunit ribosomal RNA", at positions 354 to 796 of the family's 1533-position model. The record is from RNAcentral.